Molecule: long non-coding RNA, 692 nt
Filed under: Olea europaea (common olive)
Lineage: Eukaryota; Viridiplantae; Streptophyta; Magnoliopsida; Lamiales; Oleaceae
Description: long non-coding RNA (OEUR_LNC002663)
Source: RNAcentral
UGUAGUCAUAAAAAAAUGCAAAGCUGAUGAAAUUGAAUAAAAUUGGAGUCGACAAAUUUAGUUAUUUACAUUUUGGCAACACAAGAAUUGUUAGUCGUUACUCUGAGUUUGUCUCGUAUCUGAACCUGUUGCCAACACUGUUAAAAACACUAAAGAGAUUAAAUUAAACAUAAAGAAAGAAACGAGAUGUACAGUAAACAUUCCAAAUAGUGACGUGACAUCCAACAAAGACGUCAUUAAAUUAUAGAGGUCCAGAGGCUGAACCGCUCCAUGGAUGAUCACCAACAUAGAUUAUUAAACGCAUAAUGGGAUUGACAACUGUCUCUCGGAACCUUGUGGGGUUAGAAGUAAAGCAUCACGGGAUCACGUUGAACGUGAAGAAGCAUUGGGAACCCAAUUUCUUUACCAUCCUGCAGCCCCCGCAGAGCGCUUCACUUUCGGUUCUUCGGAAGAAUCAAUAUACGUCUCUCUUCUAUAUUGAUCCAGGUAAAAAGGAAGUGGCUUGAUGAGAACAACUAAGCUGACACACCAGAGUUGGCUGCUGGAAACUCAUGGUGCCUUACAUUCAUGCAGAAAUCGGAUUCUGAAUCUAAAUAUUCCAUCACAUUCAAGAUGCUGUUUUAAGUUUUUAUUGCAAAGGCCAGAGAGGUAAAGAAUUAUUUGGUCACUGGUGUGAACAAAAUAGAAANNNN